UGCAGUCGACGAUGAACCUCACUUGUGGGGGGAUUAGUGGCGAACGGGUGAGUAACACGUGAGUAACCUGCCCUUGACUCUGGGAUAAGCCUGGGAAACCGGGUCUAAUACUGGAUACGACCUUCUGGCGCAUGCCAUGUUGGUGGAAAGCUUUUGUGGUUUUGGAUGGACUCGCGGCCUAUCAGCUUGUUGGUGGGGUAAUGGCCUACCAAGGCGACGACGGGUAGCCGGCCUGAGAGGGUGACCGGCCACACUGGGACUGAGACACGGCCCAGACUCCUACGGGAGGCAGCAGUGGGGAAUAUUGCACAAUGGGCGCAAGCCUGAUGCAGCGACGCCGCGUGAGGGAUGAAGGCCUUCGGGUUGUAAACCUCUUUCAGUAGGGAAGAAGCUGGCCUUUUGGGUUGGUGACGGUACCUGCAGAAGAAGCGCCGGCUAACUACGUGCCAGCAGCCGCGGUAAUACGUAGGGCGCAAGCGUUAUCCGGAAUUAUUGGGCGUAAAGAGCUCGUAGGCGGUUUGUCGCGUCUGCCGUGAAAGUCCGGGGCUUAACCCCGGAUCUGCGGUGGGUACG
This 573-nucleotide ribosomal RNA is filed under the name bacterium. Its description in RNAcentral is "bacterial SSU rRNA". It matches the Rfam family "Bacterial small subunit ribosomal RNA", at positions 56 to 634 of the family's 1533-position model. The record is from RNAcentral.